Molecule: ribosomal RNA, 254 nt
Filed under: uncultured bacterium
Lineage: Bacteria
Description: partial 16S ribosomal RNA
Rfam family: Bacterial small subunit ribosomal RNA
Source: RNAcentral
UACAGAGGGUGCGAGCGUUGUUCGGAAUCAUUGGGCGUAAAGCGCUUGUAGGCGGCCUGUCAAGUCGCGUGUGAAAUCCCUUGGCUUAACCAAGGAAGUGCGCGCGAAAACUGGCGGGCUUGAGUGCCGGAGAGGGUCGCGGAAUUCCCGGUGUAGAGGUGAAAUUCGUAGAUAUCGGGAGGAACACCGGUGGCGAAGGCGGCGAUCUGGGUCGAUACUGACGCUGAGGUGCGAAAGCGUGGGGAGCGAACAGG